Molecule: long non-coding RNA, 1330 nt
Filed under: Aotus nancymaae (Ma's night monkey)
Lineage: Eukaryota; Metazoa; Chordata; Mammalia; Primates; Aotidae
Description: lncRNA (ENSANAG00000038832.1)
Source: RNAcentral
AUGGAAUUAACUGGCAAACUGAUGUCUCUGCUUCCCCUUACUGGCGGAGCUCAGUGGGAGCCUCACUCCUUGCUGCCACUCCUUCCUUCCUUCCGUCCUGCCGAGUUGCCCUUUUCUACUCCCCAGCACUCCCAACCUGCAUACUCAGACAUUUCCCAGGUUCUGAAGCCCAAUAAACAAGAAAAGAUGCUGAUGUCCUACUGUGGAAAUCACUAAUUGGGAAGGUGACUUACUGCAAAUGGGCAGAGAGAGAGGAGACUGAUGGAAAUGGGCAAUGGCAUGGAGCUCUAGGGGUCCGCCGACUGCCAGAAGUCUUCCUACUGGGGGUGCUGGGGACGUCUGUGAGAGACAGUGUCUGAGGGCUUGCAGAUCUCUUCCAGGUAAUCUGGCUUUAUGACUUGAAGACUCAUUUAAAAAGACCUAAGGGCAUUGGAAAAUGUUUUAUACGGGGCACAUUUGGGCAAUGAAUAUUUAUGGAUACAGGGAUGCAUACGGCAUGUUUCCUGUGGUAAAUUUUCAGUCUAGAAAUCUCAAAAGCAAAUGAAAUAAGAUCCUCCCUUUUUUAGUUUAUUUACUUGAGAAAUUGGUACUUUGGCUUCCUUAGGCCUAGCUGGCCUCAUGCCACUUAUAUUUGUAAACUCUGCGGUUUAUUUCAGAAAUGCAUGGAUGGUCCCGUAAUAUAAAAUCUAUAAAUGUAAUUUUAUCUGAGCAUGGAAUGCAUCGCAGCCUAAAAAUUCUGCAGCAUCCUUAAUGAGCAAACAACACUGGCAGCAUCCUGAUAGAGAGAAAUGUGACAAGAAUGCUCACUGCUCCUACAAUUCACUAUUCAACACGAUAGCUGAAAUGUCAGCCAAUACAAUUAAACAAGAGAAAGAAUGUAGAGGCAAAAAACUUGGAAAGGAGUAAACAUAAAAACCCAAAGAGAAUCACUGGCCAACUACAAACAAUUAGAGAACUUAGGAAAAUGCUGGUGUACACAAAGGGUCUCAAGUUGAUGAGUAGCACCCAGCAGCCAUCUUGAAACAGUCUCCCUGGCCCUCCUCUUGAUAAUGGUCUCCGUUGAGGUGUAACCACACAAUUAACUGCUUUAGACUUUCUGAUUUUCAAAUGAUAUGUCUAUCCUCCCAACUCUGAAUAUUCUCUUUAAGACCAUGUCCUCAGAUUACCCAAAAGAAUCUUCCUGAACCAUUAUACAGAAUAUAGUAAGCUAAUUAAGCAUUUUUCCUAAGCAGGCUAUUAAAAAAAAAAACUCAAUGGAAUUUUUGGCACGUUUAUCAUCUGAAAGCCACCAGCUGUACUCAGUUUGUCCCCUCUCUUGCGACAGUGCUGG